This 5204-nucleotide unclassified non-coding RNA is filed under the name Hevea brasiliensis (rubber tree). The record is from RNAcentral. Lineage: Eukaryota; Viridiplantae; Streptophyta; Magnoliopsida; Malpighiales; Euphorbiaceae.
GUAAACCUUAACAGAAACCGGGUCAGAGUCCACCAACCAAAAUAAUGAAAGAAGCCUCAAGCGCAAGCCUGAAGACAACACAAUCUCAUAUUCAUAGCAGAAGGACAUUACCGGCACGCAGCUUUAAUUCAAGACUAAGACGCUAAAUCCAUUUCAAAGCAUUGUUAUUUACACCAAAUCCAAAUCCAAAUCCAAUCCAUUUAAUCUAAGGGUAGGACUUUGAUAAUUUAUUUUGUCCAAAUUUUGCUUGAUUCUCUUCUUCCAACCAACAUUUCUCUUCAUUAAAUUCAGGACAGAGACUCCACAGCGGACGCUUUAGCUUAAGAGGGAGAAAACGGCAACAAAGAGAGAAGUUGAAGCUUCUCUUAACACUUAUAAUCGUUCCGAUCACCGACAAAGCCGUAAGAGAGGGAGACCAGAUCGGAAAAUAGUGACACGUUUGCUUGCCACUGGAUAAAGGCUUACCUCUCUAGCAACCUUCAGUGGCACCGACCGGUGGAAGUGGCGACAGCGGCGUUGCGGGAGCAGAUCAAGUGAAUUGCCACUAUGCAACGGAUUCCUGUGACAAUUGAGGAGCAGCUUAUUUUUAAAGCAAUAAAGGAGGAAUGUCCAUGGGAGAAUCUCCCCAAGAGGCUUCAAGCAACUCUCACUUCUAAAGAAGAAUGGCACAGAAGAAUAGUUGAACACUGCAUAAAGAAAAGACAACCAUGGAACACCUGUUUUGCUCGCAAAGUGUGCAAAGAAGGUGAAUAUUAUGAAGACAUGAUGCGUUACUUGCGAAAGAAUCUGGCGCUAUUCCCCUAUCACCUUGCAGAAUAUGUUUGCCGUGUGAUGAGGAUAUCAGCUUUUAGAUAUUACUGUGAUAUGAUAUUCGAGGUCAUGAAAAAUGAGCAACCAUACGACAGCAUCCCGAAUUUUAGCGCUGCAGAUGCCUUACGGCUUACUGGAAUUGGGAGAAAUGAAUUUAUUGAUAUCAUGAACAAGUGCAGAUCUAAGAAAAUUAUGUGGAAGCUGAACAAGUCCAUUGCAAAAGAACUUUUACCUACACAACCUGUGGACUUUGCAAUUGAACCGUGGUGGGGAGUCUGUCUUGUCAACUUUACCCUGGAAGAAUUUAAGAAACUCUCAGAAGAAGAGACGGCAACAAUAGAUAAAGUUUGUAAGGAGGAAGCUAAUGAAUAUAUCCUGUUUGAUCCUGACAUUGUAAAAGGUCUGUACCGACGAGGAUUAAUCUACUUUGACGUUCCUGUCUACCCUGAUGACCGUUUUAAAGUUUCCAGGCUUGAAGGGUUUGUUUCAAAUAGGGAUCAGUCUUAUGAGGAUCCUAUCGAGGAGUUGCUUUAUGCAGUUUUUGUUGUUUCAAGUGAGAAUGCUACUGUUGCUGAACUGGCAACAACUUUGCAGGCUGACCUUUCUCAGUUGCAGGCUGCUGCAUCCUUUGCUUGUCGACUGGGAUGGGCAGUGAAAUUGAUUGAUCCAGGAGCCAUUCUCCAAGAUACAAGUAUACCUGGCUCUCCUAAAAUUGCUCUCAGUGAUGAAGAAGAUGCUGCUUGUGCUAGCAUAAGUGCAGCAAAUGUGUUCGCUGACGGUGACGUUGCUCAGCAAGGAGAUAUUUCAGGAAUUGAAAUCCAUGGGCUGCUUUCCGGCCUUGCUCGUGUUGCUUUUAUUGUUGAUGCUAAUAUAACUUCCUAUCUAAUGAUGGGUUCUGUUUCACCAGGCUUGAAAUCUCAUGCUGUAACAUUAUACGAGGCAGGAAAGUUAGGUCAUGCUAGCAUUGCUGAUCUUUGCAAGGAUCUGAGUACAUUAGAGGGAGCAAAAUUUGAGGGAGAAUUGCAGGAAUUUGCAAAUCAUGCCUUUAGCCUUCGUUGUGUCUUGGAAUGUCUGCUAUCAGGUGGAAUUGCUUCUAAUGAAAAAGUGGAGGUAGUUUGCAAUAAGAUAGGCACAUUGGCUUCAAGCAAUGAUGAGCAUACUUCUUUGAUAGCUGAUGUCUCAUUGACUGACAAAUUAGGACACUCUGGUGCCAAUGAAACUGAUGCAGAGAUUGAUCAUUCUGUGAAUUCAGGGAUGCCUCAGGAUGAUUCUCAUAUGGCUGAAUAUGUUACCGGAAGCACUGCUGAUGAAACAUCUACUGUCUUAUCUGAAGACCAUAAUUCCAUAAGUGAGAUCUCUAAGUCAGACCUUAAUGUCCAGAAUGAUGUGAAAGUUGAAGAGUCUGUUGUUGGAAGAGGAACUUUAAGGAGGAAAAGGAAAUACCGAGUGGAUAUUCUCCGUUGUGAAAGCUUGGCUGCUCUAGCACCAGAAACUUUAGAUAGGCUAUUUCUUCGUGAUUAUGAUAUUGUUGUCUCUAUAAUUCCUCUUCCUCCUUCAUCAGUUCUUCCUGGACCAAAAGGUCCCAUUCAUUUUGGUCCUCCUUGUCAUUCAUCUUUGACACCAUGGAUGAAAUUGGUUCUUUAUUCAAGUGUGGGUAGUGGGCCUUUGUCUGUUGUUCUGAUGAAAGGACAAUGUUUACGUUUGCUUCCUGCACCGUUGGCUGGUUGUGAAAAAGCCCUUAUAUGGUCCUGGGAUGGUUCUAUGAUUGGGGGGUUGGGAGGCAAAUUUGAAGGGAAUUUAGUUAAGGGAGGUGUACUUUUACAUUGUUUAAAUUCACUUCUUAAAUACUCGGCUGUCCUAGUGCAGCCCCUCAGUAGGUAUGACCUUGAUGAAUCUGGAAGAGUCAUUACCAUGGACAUACCUUUGCCCCUCAACGACUCUGAUGGUUCAAUUGCUCACAUAGAGAAUGAAUUGGUUUUAUCUGAAGAUGAGAGAUUGAAAUUGAAUUCCCUGUUAACUCAUUUGACAAAUAAGAUGGGAUUGUCAACAAUUGGUUAUGUUCACAUGUUGAAGCUUUUUAAUGAAAGAGAGUCAGACCACUUUGCACCUGAUGAUCAGAAUUAUGAAUGGGUACCACUAAGUGUGGAAUUUGGGAUGCCCCUUUUUAGUCCAAAAUUAUGUAACAAUAUAUGUAAAAGGGUUGUAUCAUCUGAGUUGCUUCAAUCAGAUUCUUUUACUGGGCAUCAUGAUGCAAUGCAAGGCCUGCGGAAAAGGUUGCGUGAUGUCUGUGCAGAGUAUCAAGCAACAGGUCCUGCUGCCAAACUUCUUUACCAGAAAGAGCAGUCAAAGGACUCAUUUCGACAUCUUAUGAACUAUGCUAGUGGAAGAUGGAAUCCCCUUGUGGACCCUUCUUCUCCCAUUUCAGGAGCCAUGAGCGAGCAUCAGAGAUUAAAACUUGCUAAUCGGCAACGUUGUCGUACCGAAGUUUUGAGUUUUGAUGGUAGCAUUCUAAGGUCCUAUGCUCAAACUCCAGUUUAUGAGGCUGCCACAAGGCCUAUUGAAGAAACUCCACUGGUGAAUCCAAUAAAAGCUGAUCCUGAUGAAGCCGAUAGUAAGGAAGUGGUUCUUCCAGGUGUCAAUCUUAUUUUUGACGGUUCUGAACUUUAUCCCUUUGAUAUAGGCGCUUGCCUGCAGGCCCGGCAACCAAUUUCCUUGAUUUCAGAGGCUGCAGCUGCCUCAGCUUCUGCUGCAAUUAAAUAGAGCUCUUUCUGCAAUAAUCCUGCUUGGAUUGGAUAGAUAAAAGACUAUGUCUGCAUACAAAAAAUAGGAAGUUGUGAGACAUUGGGUUCCUCAUACCAGCUUUAUUGUAAUUGUUUGGUCCACCUGUUGCCUCGAGACUGCUUAUCGUGCACAGGCUCGGGCUUAUGUCUGAGGUAAAUGCCAAUAGGGUCUUUUUUUUUUUUCCUAGCAGAAGUAAUUUACAAUUACAUGAUAAUUCAUCAUUAAAUUCUUAGGAAGUGCCUUGCGCUGUUUUAUGGAAAAGGGUGUUUGUUAUAAGUAAGAAAGAGGGAGAUUGAAUUUUACUUGAUCUCUUUAUUACUCGUAGAAAUUACUGUUUGUAAUAUGUUUUCUCCUCCCCACUCUCCUUCAACGCAUUCAGACAGAUUAUUUUUUGUGUUUGAUUUCUGCAUUUGUUAUUUUUCUAGCUUUGCAGAACUUGAUAAAUAAAAUUGAGUCCUUACAACAUUUCCUGGUUCAAAUGUAGGUGGAAUUUUUGGCUGAAGCUCUAAUGAUAGUAUGCAAAACAGUAAAAGGAGAAGAAUGAUGGUUUUCGUGAAUGUAUGAAGCAUUCAAUGCUUGAAAGAUGGCAGGCCCUGACACUACUGCUAACCAACAAUAGGAAGAGUAAAACAUGUUCAAUUUCCCUGAAUGUCUAAUUAUGAAGUAAACCUGCACAUAAUUUUUUGGUUUGAUGAUUUCUAGUAGUACGCAUAAGAGGGGGGAAUUUUCAGCGUGAAGCAGUGAAAAAUUUUUACCUAUCACAUAAAAGAAUUGUUUCUGGUAAAGUGAAUAUGUAUUUCCCUUAUUGCAAUUUUGUUAGUGUAAUGAUUAGUCGAGCUUGUCUUUCCAUUUUGUUUGAGGAGCUGGUGAGAUAAAACAUGGCAAACUGGGAUGACUGAGUUUUUUCGUUUUUAAAUAAGCUUGUGGUUUGUGAGGAUUGUGAAGUGGUAAAAAUCGAUGAAUUUUUGUGAUCAGGAGGAUGCCAAUUGAACUUCUGCAUUAGUCUCGUUAUAUGACAAAAGAACUUGACUAUUUCAUUUUCUGGUUCCCAUGUGUCGGUGCAAUGCUACAUGUACAUGAGAUAGAUCCAUGAUUCCUCUUUUCAGUCGGUUUCCGUUUUUUAAGUUUUUGAAGAAUGCAAACGGCAAAUCAGAUUUGAGCUUCGCGUAAAGUUGAUGGCGUGGAAUCCGGUUUCUCAUUUCUCAAGUGGGUUUGUCUUGCAAAGAUUUAUAGCAGGAAUUCCUCAUCCAUUUCGAAUGCUGCUAGUUAUUUGCACGGUGUUAUAUAUUGUUUGGUAUACGUGUUGAGAUCGACCCAACUUAAUGUUGUUUUUUGUUUUUAAUCCAUUGCAUGAUCCACGGGAAGCAUCCAGCAUCCAGAUAACAAGGGCUCUGCUACUUACUAGUUCUGAUCAUGUAGCCUUCGAAAAGAGAUACAAGGCCCAUUCCCCGUGACUCUUAUUAGACUUCAUCUGUACUCCAGUUCAUGCAUUAGUCGUGAAAGUUGACACAUCUCCAGUCCACAUAUAUAAAUUUGUAGUGAUCCAAAAAAUAUACUAUUGUAUUGGAAACACUUUAUUUCUUAUUAAUAAAAUAGAUCGAAUUAAAUUUCAG